This 830-nucleotide ribosomal RNA is filed under the name uncultured Bacteroidota bacterium. RNAcentral describes it as "bacterial SSU rRNA". It matches the Rfam family "Bacterial small subunit ribosomal RNA", at positions 62 to 898 of the family's 1533-position model. Lineage: Bacteria; Pseudomonadati; Bacteroidota. The record is from RNAcentral.
UCGAGGGGUAUAGUUCUUCGGAGCUAGAGACCGGCGCACGGGUGCGUAACGCGUAUGCAAUCUACCUUUUACAGAGGGAUAGCCCAGAGAAAUUUGGAUUAAUACCUCAUAGUAUGUGAGAAUCGCAUGGUUUUCACAUUAAAGUUCCAACGGUAAAAGAUGAGCAUGCGUCCCAUUAGCUAGAUGGUAAGGUAACGGCUUACCAUGGCGACGAUGGGUAGGGGUCCUGAGAGGGAGAUCCCCCACACUGGUACUGAGACACGGACCAGACUCCUACGGGAGGCAGCAGUGAGGAAUAUUGGACAAUGGGCGCAAGCCUGAUCCAGCCAUGCCGCGUGCAGGAUGACGGUCCUAUGGAUUGUAAACUGCUUUUGUACAGGAAGAAACACUCCCUCGUGAGGGAGCUUGACGGUACUGUAAGAAUAAGGAUCGGCUAACUCCGUGCCAGCAGCCGCGGUAAUACGGAGGAUCCAAGCGUUAUCCGGAAUCAUUUGGUUUAAAGGGUCCGUAGGCGGUUUAAUAAGUCAGUGGUGAAAGCCCAUCGCUCAACGGUGGAACGGCCAUUGAUACUGUUAAACUUGAAUUAUUAGGAAGUAACUAGAAUAUGUAGUGUAGCGGUGAAAUGCUUAGAGAUUACAUGGAAUACCAAUUGCGAAGGCAGGUUACUACUAAUGGAUUGACGCUGAUGGACGAAAGCGUGGGCAGCGAACAGGAUUAGAUACCCUGGUAGUCCACGCCGUAAACGAUGGAUACUAGCUGUUGGGCGCAAGUUCAGUGGCUAAGCGAAAGUGAUAAGUAUCCCACCUGGGGAGUACGCUCGCAAGAAUGAA